Molecule: ribosomal RNA, 425 nt
Filed under: uncultured bacterium
Lineage: Bacteria
Description: bacterial SSU rRNA
Rfam family: Bacterial small subunit ribosomal RNA
Source: RNAcentral
GAAUAUUGGACAAUGGGGGGAACCCUGAUCCAGCCAUGCCGCGUGUGUGAAGAAGGCCUUUUGGUUGUAAAGCACUUUAAGCGAGGAGGAGGCUACUCUAGUUAAUACCUAGAGAUAGUGGACGUUACGCGCAGAAUAAGCACCGACUAACGCUGUGCCCGCGGCCGCGGUAAUACAGAGGGGGCAAGCGUUAAUCGGAUUUACUGGGCGUAAAGCGCGCGUAGGUGGCCAAUUAAGUAAAAUGUGAAAUCCCCGAGCUUAACUUGGGAAUUGCAUUCGAUACUGGUUGGCUAGAGUAUGGGAGAGGAUGGUAGAAUUCCAGGUGUAGCGGUGAAAUGCGUAGAGAUCUGGAGGAAUACCGAUGGCGAAGGCAGCCAUCUGGCCUAAUACUGACACUGAGGUGCGAAAGCAUGGGGAGCAAACAG